RNAcentral lists this ribosomal RNA (464 nucleotides) under uncultured bacterium. RNAcentral's name for it is "partial 16S ribosomal RNA". It matches the Rfam family "Bacterial small subunit ribosomal RNA", at positions 29 to 507 of the family's 1533-position model. The record is from RNAcentral.
ACGAACGCUGGCGGCGUGCUUAACACAUGCAAGUCGAACGGAAAGGCCCCUUUGGGGGUACUCGAGUGGCGAACGGGUGAGUAACACGUGAGUAACCUGCCCUUGACUUCGGGAUAACUUCAGGAAACUGGGGCUAAUACCUGAUAGGAAUCCUUGCUGCAUGGUGGGGGUUGGAAAGCUUCGGCGGUUUUGGAUGGACUCGCGGCUUAUCAGCUUGUUGGUGGGGUAGUGGCUUACCAAGGCUUUGACGGGUAGCCGGCCUGAGAGGGCGACCGGCCACAUUGGGACUGAGAGACGGCCCAGACUCCUACGGGAGGCAGCAGUGGGGAAUAUUGCACAAUGGGCGGAAGCCUGAUGCAGCAACGCCGCGUGCGGGAUGACGGCCUUCGGGUUGUAAACCGCUUUCAGCAGGGGCGAAGCUUGUGGUGACGGUACCUGCAGAAGAAGCACCGGCUAACUACGUG